AGCAGCCGCGGUAAUUCCAGCUCCAAUAGCGUAUAUUAAAGUUGCUGCAGUUAAAAAGCUCGUAGUUGAAUUUCGGGGUCAAUAUGUUGGUCGUGCCUUGGUACGUACUAGCUUAUUGAUUUCUCCUUUCUGACGAACCAUGAUGUCAUUAAUUUGGUGUCAUGGGGAAUCAGGACUGUUACUUUGAAAAAUUAGAGUGUUUAAAGCAGGCUCGCGCUUGAAUACAUUAGCAUGGAAUAAUGAAAUAGGACAUUUGAUUCUAUUUUGUCGGUUUCUAGGAUCGAUGUAAUGAUUAAUAGGGAUAGUUGGGGGCAUUAGUAUUCAAUUGUCAGAGGUGAAAUUCUUGGAUUUUAUUGAAGACUAACUACUGCGAAAGCAUUUGCCAAGGAUGUUUUCAUUAAAUCAAAACGAAAGUUAGGGGAUCGAAGACGAUCAGAUACGUCGUAGUCUUAACCAUAAACUAUGCCGACUAGGGAUCGGAUGAUGUUAAUUUUUAUGACUCU
RNAcentral lists this ribosomal RNA (503 nucleotides) under uncultured Glomus. RNAcentral's name for it is "SSU rRNA". It matches the Rfam family "Eukaryotic small subunit ribosomal RNA", at positions 569 to 1078 of the family's 1831-position model. Lineage: Eukaryota; Fungi; Glomeromycota; Glomeromycetes; Glomerales; Glomeraceae. The record is from RNAcentral.